RNAcentral lists this small RNA (136 nucleotides) under Salmonella enterica. RNAcentral describes it as "RtT sRNA". It matches the Rfam family "RtT RNA". From Rfam's summary of the family: This family represents a bacterial cis-regulatory element known as RtT RNA. The exact function of RtT is unknown although it is thought that it may be involved in changing the cellular response in relation to amino acid starvation. Lineage: Bacteria; Pseudomonadati; Pseudomonadota; Gammaproteobacteria; Enterobacterales; Enterobacteriaceae. The record is from RNAcentral.
UAUCCCCCAAACUAAGGGGGGAUGAGAACCACCGACCGGGGUUCGACAGCUGGCGCAGCCAGUUGGACAGACGACGAGCUUGCGAGGAGACUGCCCGAAGGGCGAGCGCAGCGAGUCAAUCCCCCCCUCACCGCCA